Molecule: ribosomal RNA, 497 nt
Filed under: uncultured bacterium
Lineage: Bacteria
Description: partial 16S ribosomal RNA
Rfam family: Bacterial small subunit ribosomal RNA
Source: RNAcentral
GACGAACGCUGGCGGCGUGCCUAAUACAUGCAAGUUGAGCGCUGAAGGUUGGUACUUGUACCAACUGGGUGAGCAGCGAACGGGUGAGUAACGCGUGGGUAAUCUGCCUUUGAGCGGGGGACAACAUUUGGAAACGAAUGCUAAUACCGCAUAAAAACUUUAAACACAAGUUUUAAGUUUGAAAGAUGCAAUUGCAUCACUCAAAGAUGAUCCCGCGUUGUAUUAGCUAGUUGGUGAGGUAAAGGCUCACCAAGGCGAUGAUACAUAGCCGACCUGAGAGGGUGAUCCGCCACAUUGGGACUGAGACACGGCCCAAACUCCUACGGGAGGCAGCCGUAGGGAAUCUUCGGCCAUGGACGAAAGUCUGACCGAGCAACGCCGCGUGAGUGAAGAAGGGUCUCGGAUCGUAAAACUCUGUUGGUAGGGAAGAACGUUGGUGAGAGUGGAAAGCUCAUCAAGUGACGGUAACUACCCAGAAAGGGACGGCUAACUACGUG